Molecule: long non-coding RNA, 362 nt
Filed under: Bos taurus (domestic cattle)
Lineage: Eukaryota; Metazoa; Chordata; Mammalia; Artiodactyla; Bovidae
Description: long non-coding RNA NONBTAT001841
Source: RNAcentral
AAAGGAGGAUUGUAGAUUUUUAGAAUAAUAAAAUUCUGAAUUUGUAUUGUAAUGUCACUUUUGGAAAUGAGCUUUUACUGAUCAUUUGCUUUCAGCCUCUUUUAUCAAAUUUUUUUAAGAGUGGUUGGUUGAUUAGUUGACUUACAUAGUGAUUUUUUUUUCCUCUUCAAGCAUAGAACUUUAUGCAGUGGAUGACUGAAAUGCGAGGGCUUAUAAAACUUAUGAAGAUCACAGUUUUUAUAAAAGUGAACAGUGAAAACAAUGCAUAGCCCAAGCCUAGUAUAAUUUUAAAAGACAAAGCUCUGAGAAUGACCUAUGUCAGCACUGAAACUUUGUAAUUUUAAAGGAAAAAGCAUACACAC